GAUGAACGCUAGCGGCAGGCUUAAUACAUGCAAGUCGAACGGAGACUGUAGCAAUACUGUCUUAGUGGCGAACGGGUGAGUAACGCGUUGGUGACCUGCCCCGAAGAGGGGGAUAACAGUCCGAAAGGAUUGCUAAUACCCCAUGUGGUCGUUUGGAUUAGAUGCCUUACGACUAAACGGAUUUAUUCGCUUCGGGAGGGGCCUGCGUCCCAUCAGCUAGUUGGUAGGGUAAUAGCCUACCAAGGCGAUGACGGGUAGGGGACCUGAGAGGGUGGCCCCCCACAAUGGAACUGAAACACGGUCCAUACACCUACGGGUGGCAGCAGUAGGGAAUAUUGGUAAUCUGGGAAACCGGGAACCAGCAACGCCGCGUGCGCGAUGAAGGCCUUCGGGUUGUAAAGCGCUUUUUAAAGGGAUGAGGAAGGACAGUACCUUUAGAAUAAGCCUCGGCUAACUACGUG
This 461-nucleotide ribosomal RNA is filed under the name uncultured bacterium. RNAcentral describes it as "bacterial SSU rRNA". It matches the Rfam family "Bacterial small subunit ribosomal RNA", at positions 28 to 507 of the family's 1533-position model. The record is from RNAcentral.